Molecule: ribosomal RNA, 524 nt
Filed under: uncultured bacterium
Lineage: Bacteria
Description: bacterial SSU rRNA
Rfam family: Bacterial small subunit ribosomal RNA
Source: RNAcentral
GCGGCGUGCCUAACACAUGCAAGUCGAACGGAGUUAAUUGCAAACCGAAGGCUAAUUGGGGCAGGAAUCUUGUCCGGAAGGAUGGGGCGGAGAACCAAUUAAACAGUCGGUGUUGUGAUUAACUUAGUGGCGGACGGGUGAGUAACGCGUGAGUAACCUGCCUUUCAGAGGGGGAUAACGUUCUGAAAAGAACGCUAAUACCGCAUAACAUCCAGGUAUCGCAUGGUACCUGGAUCAAAGGAGCAAUCCGCUGGAAGAUGGACUCGCGUCCGAUUAGCUGGUUGGCGGGGUAAAUGCCCACCAAGGCGACGAUCGGUAGCCGGACUGAGAGGUUGAACGGCCACAUUGGGACUGAGACACGGCCCAGACUCCUACGGGAGGCAGCAGUGGGGGAUAUUGCACAAUGGGGGAAACCCUGAUGCAGCAACGCCGCGUGAGGGAAGAAGGUUUUCGGAUUGUAAACCUCUGUCCUUGGUGACGAUAAUGACGGUAGCCAAGGAGGAAGCUCCGGCUAACUACGUGCC